UUCAGAUAACUAGCAUUAGUAAGGGAUUGUUGCUGCAGGAACGAUUUUGCGGUUAAAGGCUAAAGAUUACGUCAACGCAGGAGGCUGACUGGCAAAUCAUUGCGUGGGGACAUACCAAUUGGAAAGGAAAGAUGAAGCCAAUGCUACAUUCAUGCAGUCGUAAAGCAUUAGUACUGAUCUCAAGGUAUGAUACUACAAUCUUAGAGGCACUUGUGCUAUGAGAAAGACAGCUACAAGUCUACAAGGGCUUUCUUUUCGAAUGUUGCAAUGUUCUGAGCCAACGUAAAGCAAUCAGUUGUAACUAGAAUGGUAUUUUCACUGCCUAGCUGAGUGAUAGAUCAUUCAAGCGAUGGAUUAAAAUGUCAGUAUACAUGUGCUGUAAGA
This is a non-coding RNA of Chiloscyllium plagiosum (whitespotted bambooshark), 384 nucleotides long. The record is from RefSeq and is a predicted model, not a curated record. Lineage: Eukaryota; Metazoa; Chordata; Chondrichthyes; Orectolobiformes; Hemiscylliidae.